AAGACUAUAGACCUGCGGAGUACCUGCGGAAGGAUCAUUACCGAGUUAUCAACUCCCAAACCCCUGUGAACAUACCCGAACGUUGCCUCGGCGGGACCGCCCCGGCGCCCCUAGCGGCCCGGAACCAGGCGCCCGCCGGAGGACCCAAACUCUUGCUUUAAACAGUGGCAUACUCUCUGAGUCUCACAAACAAAAAAUAAAUCAAAACUUUUAGCAAUGGAUCUCUAGAUCGGAAGAGCA
This 240-nucleotide unclassified non-coding RNA is filed under the name soil metagenome. RNAcentral's name for it is "partial contains 5.8S ribosomal RNA, internal transcribed spacer 2, and large subunit ribosomal RNA". The record is from RNAcentral.